RNAcentral lists this ribosomal RNA (468 nucleotides) under uncultured bacterium. RNAcentral's name for it is "partial 16S ribosomal RNA". It matches the Rfam family "Bacterial small subunit ribosomal RNA", at positions 28 to 507 of the family's 1533-position model. The record is from RNAcentral.
GACGAACGCUGGCGGCGUGCUUAACACAUGCAAGUCGAACGGAAAGGCCCUGCUUUUGUGGGGUGCUCGAGUGGCGAACGGGUGAGUAACACGUGAGUAACCUGACCUUGACUUUGGGAUAACUUCAGGAAACUGGGGCUACUACCGGAUAGGAGCUCCUGCUGCAUGGUGGGGGUUGGAACGUUUCGGCGGUUUGGGAUGGACUCGCGGCUUAUCAGCUUGCUGGUGGGGUAGUGGAUUACCAAGGCUUUGACGGGUAGCCGGCCUGAGAGGGUGACCGGCCACAGUGGGACUGAGGUACGGCCAAGACUCAUACGGGAGGCAGCAGUGGGGAAUAGUGCAAAAUGGGCGGAAGCCGUAUGCAGCGACGUCGCGUGGGGGAUGACGUCUUUCGGGUUGUAAACCGCUUUCGCCAGUGACGAAGCGUGAGUGACGUAAAUGGGUAAAGAAGAACCGGCUAACUACGUG